UACGGAGGGUGCAAACGUUGCUCGGAAUCAUUGGGCGUAAAGCGCGCGUAGGCGGCUCGUUAAGUCGGGUGUGAAAUCUUGGAGCUUAACUCCGAAACUGCAUUCGAUACUGCCGUGCUUGAGGACUGGAGAGGAGACUGGAAUUUACGGUGUAGCGGUGAAAUGCGUAGAUAUCGUAAGGAAGACCAGUGGCGAAGGCGGGUCUCUGGACAGUUCCUGACGCUGAGGCACGAAGGUCAGGGGAGCAAACGGG
Molecule: ribosomal RNA, 253 nt
Filed under: uncultured bacterium
Lineage: Bacteria
Description: partial 16S ribosomal RNA
Rfam family: Bacterial small subunit ribosomal RNA
Source: RNAcentral